RNAcentral lists this ribosomal RNA (476 nucleotides) under uncultured eukaryote. RNAcentral's name for it is "bacterial LSU rRNA". It matches the Rfam family "Bacterial large subunit ribosomal RNA", at positions 1 to 496 of the family's 2925-position model. The record is from RNAcentral.
AGCAAAUAAAUAAGGGCUUAUGGUGGAUACCUAGGCAUCUAGAAGCUAUGAAGGGCGUAGCUACCGACGAAACGCUUCGGAGAGCUGGAAGCAAGCAUCGACCCGAAGAUACCCGAAUGAGGAAACUUUUUAUACUACCUAUUGAAUCUAUAGAUAGGAAAGAGCGAACCUAGUGAACUGAAACAUCUUAGUAACUAGAGGAAAAGAAAGCAAAAAGCGAUUCCCGUAGUAGCGGCGAGCGAACUGGGACCAGCCUAAACUAUUUAUAAUUAAAUAGGGUUGUGGGACAUCUUUUAUAAAAUGGGAUAAUUAAGCGAAUCAACUGGAAUGUUGAGCCAUAGACGGUGAAAGCCCCGUAGUUAAAAAUUUGAAAAUUUUAGAUGUAUCCCAAGUAGCUUGGGGCACGUGAAACCCCUUGUGAAUCUGCGAGGACCACCUCGUAAGGCUAAAUAUUCCUAGAUGACCGAUAGCGAAAU